This 253-nucleotide ribosomal RNA is filed under the name uncultured bacterium. Its description in RNAcentral is "partial 16S ribosomal RNA". It matches the Rfam family "Bacterial small subunit ribosomal RNA", at positions 524 to 776 of the family's 1533-position model. The record is from RNAcentral.
UACGUAGGGGGCAAGCGUUGUCCGGAAUCAUUGGGCGUAAAGAGCGCGUAGGCGGCCCGGUAAGUCCGCUGUGAAAGUCGGGGGCUCAACCCUCGAAUGCCAGUGGAUACUGUCGGGCUAGAGUGCGGAAGAGGCGAGUGGAAUUCCUGGUGUAGCGGUGAAAUGCGCAGAUAUCAGGAGGAACACCAAUUGCGAAGGCAGCUCGCUGGGACGUAACUGACGCUGAGACGCGAAAGCGUGGGGAGCAAACAGG